This 116-nucleotide ribosomal RNA is filed under the name Deltaproteobacteria bacterium. Lineage: Bacteria; Pseudomonadati; Myxococcota; Myxococcia. The record is from RNAcentral.
UCCGGUAACUAUUUCGCAGAGGAUCCACCCGUUCCCAUCCCGAACACGGAAGUUAAUCUCUGCAGAGCCGAUGGUACUGCAUUUUAGAAGUGUGGGAGAGUAGGUCGUUGCCGGAU